AACGCACCUUGCGCUCCUUGGUAUUCCGAGGAGCAUGCCUGUUCGAGUGUCUUUUGAACAAUCGACCCCAAUCCCUUGUUUGGGGCUCGGAUCUUUGGACGUGCCUCUGCGGUGCCUCUCGGCGCUGCUCGUCCCAAAUUCAUUAGCCGUGAUUAACACGAAGGGCUUGUGGAGUGUAAACUAUGCUUCCAUUCAGCACAAGUGUCGUGGCUACUAACGGUCUGCAUGCGCAGACGAUCAUUGUCACCUUUUGGCCUCGAAUCAGGCAGGACUACCCGCUGAACUUAA
This 288-nucleotide unclassified non-coding RNA is filed under the name uncultured fungus. RNAcentral describes it as "sequence contains ITS2". The stretch from base 1 to 52 matches the Rfam family "5.8S ribosomal RNA", at positions 103 to 154 of the family's 154-position model. Lineage: Eukaryota; Fungi. The record is from RNAcentral.